CCUACGGGUGGCUGCAGUGAGGAAUAUUGGUCAAUGGACGCAAGUCUGAACCAGCCAUGCCGCGUGCAGGAAGACGGCUCUAUGAGUUGUAAACUGCUUUUGUACGAGGGUAAAUCCCGAUACGUGUAUCGGGUUGAAAGUAUCGUACGAAUAAGGAUCGGCUAACUCCGUGCCAGCAGCGGCGGUAAUACGGAGGAUUCAAGCGUUACCGGGAUUUAUUGGGUUUAACGGGUGCGCAGGCGGUCUGUUAAGUCAGCGGUAAAAGCCCGGGGCUAAACCCCGGACCGCCGUUGAGACUGGCAGUCUAGAGUUGGAGAGAGGUAUGCGGAAUGCGCGGUGUAGCGGUGAAAUGCGUAGAUA
Molecule: ribosomal RNA, 360 nt
Filed under: uncultured bacterium
Lineage: Bacteria
Description: partial 16S ribosomal RNA
Rfam family: Bacterial small subunit ribosomal RNA
Source: RNAcentral